UUGAAACACCAGUUCCCAUACAGUCACCAGAGUUAAGUAAUGUCAAGCCUGGUCAGUACUUGGAUGAGUGACCACUUGGGAAUACCAGGUGCUGUAA
Acanthosepion pharaonis is the source of this 97-nucleotide non-coding RNA. The record is from the annotation of a GenBank genome assembly. NCBI's taxonomy places the organism in Eukaryota, Metazoa, Mollusca, Cephalopoda, Sepiida, Sepiidae.